CGCCGUCGACCCCACGCCACGCAGAGGUGAAGAUACGCAGGACGUCCUCUAAAGCAACUUCCGUGGGUGCCAGGUUGUGGGCUGGGGGCGGUGCUGACCUUGAGAGAGCGGAGGAGGCGCAGGCGCAGCACAGUUUAAACUUGAUUUUGUGAGGGGACGAACAGCGUGACAAUUAAAAGAAGAUCUGGGAAUCAAAAGCUUCCUGAGGCCUUCACCAGAAGCAGAUGCUGGUGCCGUGCUUCUACAGCCUGCAGAACUGAAGGACUUUACAGCUUCUCUUUCGCAUAUCCAAAUUGCCAGCAUCACCGCUCUUGCACUCCAAGCCAUUAUUAAGUAAAGUAAAGAACACAAACACUGUGAUACUGCUACACUUGAUCUGAUAACCAAGAAGUCUACUAAGUGACUAACAGCAGAGCAACUGGGAACCUAAUUCUGACCAAAAAGGAGGAAUUGUUUGGCUAAUUGGAAGUGACAGAAACCUUGGGAGAAAGCAACCGCAUACCAAGGAUAAUUAUAAGAAGAAGAGAAGACAUGGAGAAGAGGAGGGAGUAGUUGUGACCGUGGAGGCAGAGAAUGGAGUAAUGUGAUCAUAAAUCAAGGAAUGCUGACAGCCACUAAAGCUGGAGAAGGCCAAGGACAGAUAUUCAAUCCUCCCGUAGAAGUACAGCCCUGCUAAUGCAUUGAUUUUGGACUUCUGGCCUCAGAACUGUCUGGAAAGCAUGGAAAUUUGUAUCUUCAUUCACUUUUGUUUUCAUGGACUCUUUUCAUGUUUGAACUUUUCAUGGAGACCAGGCCUCAAUCUGUCACCAAGGCUGGAGUGCAGAGACAUGAUCAUAGCUCACUGCAACCUGGAACUCAUGGGCUCAAGCAAUUCUCCCGCCUCAGACUCCCGAGUAGCUGGGACUAUAGGCAUGUGCCAUCACACCCAGCUAAUUUCUCUGCAUAACUUUAGGGCACUGCCCAACUCAAGUAAUGAGGGCUAAAAAGAUGACUUCUCCCGGUACUCUAUAUACCCUUGUCAAUGAUAAACCAGGCUGGCCUUUUCAAAGAUGCAUCCUUAGAUCUUUGCAAAUUUCCAAAUUACUCAAUACCACCAAAGUAUAUAAUUAUUCUCCGCUACUCUAAUAUAGAAUAUUAUAAUUUUAUCAGAGCAACUACACAUACUAUUAGUCAAAAACUACAAAAACAUCAUGAAAUGGUAAUGCUAGGUAAUUCUUUAGGCUCACUUGUUACCUACAAUACUUUUACCUUCACAUCAACCUUGCAUAAUAAUGUAACUGUUUAGUCUUUUUUUAAUGCACGG
RNAcentral lists this long non-coding RNA (1303 nucleotides) under Homo sapiens (human). RNAcentral describes it as "PREDICTED lncRNA (TCONS_00212474)". The record is from RNAcentral. Lineage: Eukaryota; Metazoa; Chordata; Mammalia; Primates; Hominidae.